Lagopus leucura (white-tailed ptarmigan) is the source of this 939-nucleotide long non-coding RNA. RefSeq lists it as uncharacterized. The transcript has 6 exons. The record is from RefSeq and is a predicted model, not a curated record. NCBI's taxonomy places the organism in Eukaryota, Metazoa, Chordata, Aves, Galliformes, Phasianidae.
CGUUGGAGAGGUGGCUCGGGCGCCCCUGUGAGGGGGCGGCUGCUUCUCGCCCGCUGCGUGGUGCGGAGGGCGCUCAGCCGCUCCAGGCGGAGUUUUCACCUUGGGGCCAAGUCGUUAUGCAGUAAUCGGCAUGCGAGAGGUGCCUGAGUACUUGGUUGAGAGGAAAAGCCGGCUUCUCAGCAGCCCCGUCUCUGAAGGUACAGCUGUUAAGUAUGCAACUGCAGUGGACUUGACAAGCUGGAGAAGCCCAGGAGGCAACUUGUGAAGAAAGAGAACAAGCAGUGGGGUUUGUACUGCUCACAGCUGAGCGCAGUCUGUUUCACUUCCAACACCAAAGGCCCAUGUGAGCUGUGCUAGCCCCUGGCUUGCUUUCAGUGGAUUUCUACACAUUUUGAUGCUGUAGACGAUCUGCCAAUUGGGCUGAAGGCCAGGAGAAAUGGUAAAUGCAAGACUGCAAUGCUCCAUCCUCAGACAAAAAUCAUCAGAUCCCAAGGAAAGUUGCAGUUCCAGCAGGAGUGAGGAAAUAGCAAGCUUUCAAUUAUUUACGCUGUGGCGAUACCUGAAGAGAAAUUCACCAAACAAAAAAAAGGCAGCUGAUUUUCUUUAGAUGCUGCAAGAGACUUCACGAUUCUCUAGAAGGGAGAUAUCGAAGACCAACUUCUCUAUGAAUGUCUCUGCACAACGUGAACAGGAAGAAAGCUAUGAAAGUCUCCUCUCUCUUCACUCUCCUCCUGGCUGCUGCACUUGGCUGCAAUAAGGAUAAAAGCCAAGCUUCAUGUGAUAGUAUCAUGAUUAUUAUUAGUCUUGGAUGAUAUCCCACAAUGACAUCAAGCUCACUGUAACAUGUAAUAACUCAAUAAAAGGAUUAAACUGAACUUAAGCUCUUCCUAACCCUCAAUAUCUAUUGCCCACGUACUUGCAUCGGAAACGGAGAAGACU